UGGGGAAUCUUGGACAAUGGGGGCAACCCUGAUCCAGCCAUGCCGCGUGGGUGAUGAAGGCCUUAGGGUCGUAAAGCCCUUUCGCCGGGGAAGAUAAUGACGGUACCCGGUAAAGAAGCCCCGGCUAACUCCGUGCCAGCAGCCGCGGUAAUACGGAGGGGGCUAGCGUUGUUCAGAAUGACUGGGCGUAAAGCGCGCGUAGGCGGAUCAGGAAGUUGGGGGUGAAAUCCCGGGGCUCAACCUCGGAAUGGCCUUCAAGACUCCUGGUCUUGAGUUCGAGAGAGGUGAGUGGAAUUCCGAGUGUAGAGGUGAAAUUCGUAGAUAUUCGGAGGAACACCAGUGGCGAAGGCGGCUCACUGGCUCGACACUGACGCUGAGGUGCGAAAGCGUGGGGAGCAAACAGGAUUAGAUACCCCUGGUAGUCCACGCCGUAAAACGAUGAAUGCCAGACGUCGGGGGGCUUGCCCUUCGGUGUCACACCUAACGGAUUAAGGCAUUCCGCCUGGGGGAGUACGGUCGCAAGAUUAAAACUUAAAGGAAUUGACGGGGUCAUAGCUGUUUCCU
RNAcentral lists this ribosomal RNA (564 nucleotides) under uncultured bacterium. RNAcentral describes it as "partial 16S ribosomal RNA". It matches the Rfam family "Bacterial small subunit ribosomal RNA", at positions 355 to 1375 of the family's 1533-position model. The record is from RNAcentral.